CUGAACUUAAGAUGGAGGCAAGAAAACUGA
Molecule: non-coding RNA, 30 nt
Filed under: Cricetulus griseus (Chinese hamster)
Lineage: Eukaryota; Metazoa; Chordata; Mammalia; Rodentia; Cricetidae
Source: RNAcentral